ACCUGGGUGGCUCAGUCGGUUAAGCAUCUGACUUCAGCUCAGGUCAUGAUCUCGUGGUUCGUGGGUUCGAGCCCCACAUCGGGCU
Molecule: transfer RNA, 85 nt
Filed under: Felis catus (domestic cat)
Lineage: Eukaryota; Metazoa; Chordata; Mammalia; Carnivora; Felidae
Rfam family: tRNA
About the family: Transfer RNA (tRNA) molecules are approximately 80 nucleotides in length. Their secondary structure includes four short double-helical elements and three loops (D, anti-codon, and T loops).
Source: Rfam by way of RNAcentral